UCGCUACUACCGAUUGAAUGGCUUAGUGAGCUCCACGGAUUGUUGCCUUCGUUGGGUUUCCAUCGUUAGGUUUACGAGAAGUGGAUCAAACUUGAUCAUUUAGAGGAAGUAA
RNAcentral lists this ribosomal RNA (112 nucleotides) under uncultured eukaryote. RNAcentral describes it as "partial small subunit ribosomal RNA". It matches the Rfam family "Eukaryotic small subunit ribosomal RNA", at positions 1676 to 1785 of the family's 1831-position model. The record is from RNAcentral.